GGAGCUUGCUCCCGGAUGUUAGCGGCGGACGGGUGAGUAACACGUGGGUAACCUGCCUGUAAGACUGGGAUAACUCCGGGAAACCGGAGCUAAUACCGGAUAGUUCCUUGAACCGCAUGGUUCAAGGAUGAAAGACGGUUUCGGCUGUCACUUACAGAUGGACCCGCGGCGCAUUAGCUAGUUGGUGGGGUAAUGGCUCACCAAGGCGACGAUGCGUACCCCACCUGAGAGGGUGAUCGGCCACACUGGGACUGAGACACGGCCCAGACUCCUACGGGAGGCAGCAGUAGGGAAUCUUCCGCAAUGGACGAAAGUCUGACGGAGCAACGCCGCGUGAGUGAUGAAGGUUUUCGGAUCGUAAAGCUCUGUUGUUAGGGAAGAACAAGUGCGAGAGUAACUGCUCGCACCUUGACGGUACCUAACCAGAAAGCCACGGCUAACUACGUGCCAGCAGCCGCGGUAAUACGUAGGUGGCAAGCGUUGUCCGGAAUUAUUGGGCGUAAAGGGCUCGCAGGCGGUUUCUUAAGUCUGAUGUGAAAGCCCCCGGCUCAACCGGGGAGGGUCAUUGGAAACUGGGAAACUUGAGUGCAGAAGAGGAGAGUGGAAUUCCACGUGUAGCGGUGAAAUGCGUAGAGAUGUGGAGGAACACCAGUGGCGAAGGCGACUCUCUGGUCUGUAACUGACGCUGAGGAGCGAAAGCGUGGGGAGCGAACAGGAUUAGAUACCCUGGUAGUCCACGCCGUAAACGAUGAGUGCUAAGUGUUAGGGGGGUUUCCGCCCCUUAGUG
This 787-nucleotide ribosomal RNA is filed under the name Bacillus zhangzhouensis. Its description in RNAcentral is "bacterial SSU rRNA". It matches the Rfam family "Bacterial small subunit ribosomal RNA", at positions 75 to 845 of the family's 1533-position model. Lineage: Bacteria; Bacillati; Bacillota; Bacilli; Caryophanales; Bacillaceae. The record is from RNAcentral.